UACGUAGGGUGCAAGCGUUGUCCGGAAUUAUUGGGCGUAAAGAGCUCGUAGGCGGUCUGUCGCGUCGGAUGUGAAAACUCGGGGCUCAACCCCGGGCCUGCAUUCGAUACGGGCAGACUAGAGUUCGGCAGGGGAGACUGGAAUUCCUGGUGUAGCGGUGAAAUGCGCAGAUAUCAGGAGGAACACCGGUGGCGAAGGCGGGUCUCUGGGCCGAUAUUGACGCUGAGGAGCGAAAGCGUGGGGAGCGAACAGG
This 253-nucleotide ribosomal RNA is filed under the name uncultured bacterium. RNAcentral's name for it is "partial 16S ribosomal RNA". It matches the Rfam family "Bacterial small subunit ribosomal RNA", at positions 524 to 776 of the family's 1533-position model. The record is from RNAcentral.